CCAUGCGUUGAGAUACCACUCAGACCCUAUGAUCAAUGUCCAGGCAAACACAGGUUACAAUCAGGUGUGGAAUUGGCCUCCGGGGAUUUGUGCAGAGGGAUAAAAGAGGGAAGGCAAAGCUGAACUACCGAAAGCAUUGAGCUUCUGUUUGUUGAUUGCAAGUGGUAAAAUCUGCAAGGAGCACUGCCACAGGAAAGCAGCAUCCCUCAUCAAGGACCCCUGCCAUCCUGGUCAUGCUCUCUUCCCGCUGCUGCCAUCAGAAAGGAGGUACAGGACCCUUUGGUCCCACAUCGUCGGGUUCAGUUAUUACCCUUCGACCAUCAGGCUCCUGAACCAGCGUGGAUAACUUUACUUCCCUCAACACCGAACUGAUUCCAGAAUCUAUGGACUCACUCUUAAGCAUUCUACAGCUCAU
This is a long non-coding RNA of Hypanus sabinus (Atlantic stingray), 415 nucleotides long. RefSeq lists it as uncharacterized. The record is from RefSeq and is a predicted model, not a curated record. Lineage: Eukaryota; Metazoa; Chordata; Chondrichthyes; Myliobatiformes; Dasyatidae. The transcript has 3 exons.